AGUGGGGAAAACAGCGUUCGGGGGGGCAGCUUUUUAUGCUGAUUUUCUGUAGGCAUGUGGGUCUUGGGUUCAGGAGUCACCUCUCUUUGCUUCCUCGGAGGUCUCCAGAGCAGUCUUUCUCCAGGGAUGUCCAAGGACCAUGCGAAAUGAUCCAUGAAGUACCGCCAGGCACACAAGUGAGGAAACAACCAAGCGAAGGUUACACCGGCUCAUGGGAAAUGGGAUCUAUUUAAGAAUGGAGCAGGAUAUGUUGGAUGGAAGUGUGUGCAAUCAUCUUUAAGAAGGCAGGACAACCUGUAGUACACCAGAGCUCACAAGCACGUACAAAACAGCAAAAUGGAAAUGCUACAAUCGACAAUUUUGACUGCAAAAAUCAAUUUGUAAACAUGGUUUGCAUACAGUCUUUGAAAAACUGUAGAAAAAAUUAGAAAAGAAUGAUACAAAAAUCCCUGCAAACUAUUCUAUUUAUGUACAAAGCAAUAUACAGACACCAGACAAUCCAGGUUGCGUGAUGCUGCCUACGACAGUUUCCCUUUGCGCCGUGGCGCUUGCCACAGAGCAGCAUUAAAAACACUUGCGAAAUUCUUGAAUUUUGGAAAUCAGACUAGAAGGACUGGAUAGUCCAGCAUCGAUCAGUAAUGGGUCUGCAGCAGAACGUAGUUAUAAAUGAAAGGGGAAGUACAUCAAAAAGUUGGGUGAUGUGAGGAAUCUCACAAGUCUUCCUGCCUCCCCAAGUCCUUCCUUAGCAUGUGGGUUAGUUCCCUCUCAGACUAUAGAGACCUACUUGGUGGCUCAGCAAAAUGCUCUAGGUAUUUUUUUAAAUGUUUAGAUCCUGGGUUUUCCAUACAACUCAUAGAUUCAAAUGCACAACCACCGUAUCUGCUCGGAUUUGUAUGAUCUGGUAGCAGGAAGUCACCACUGAGGGGGAAGGUGUCCCUGGGACAGUGGGAAAACCUGAGGGAUGGGUCUCUAGCACCUCUUGCCGGUGAACCCRUUUGCACAAGAAGUAAAGGAAUUCACAGCACCUGGCCUUUAGCAGCGAUUUGGCUCAUUCAUAGCAGCAGAUUUCAAUUUAAUAUCCAACACAAUCAGGAGGAAAAAAAUGAGGGAGGGACCCACUGCGCAGUCCUGCCCAGGCCCACUUGCUAGGGAUGCUCACGAAGUCUUGCCUUAGGUGGGCAGAACCGCAGUGUCUGCUUGUGCUUUGAGGAUUAUGGAUAGACACAGUCUAGUGCCCGUGGGGAAAGAAAGAUCCAUGACUUUGAAAGGAAUAUAUAUUUAACACAUUGUUCCAGGUAAUUUGUGAGCACGGAUAUAUAACACUUAAAAAAUAACAUGGUGUAGAUGAUCAAUUUGUUUACAACUGUAUUGUCUUCUCUGACACUUCAGUAUUGCAAUUGCUUUUUUUCCCCCCAAUACUUGAAGUUAUCCUCUCUAUAUAGUUAUUCAGGCAAUAGAAAUCGGGUAAAUAUUUUUGGCUUGAAGUCAUCAAUGUGACUGGAGAAAACAAAAUCACUCUUCUUCCGCAGCAGGAGUUUCCACAUGACCUUAUGUGUUGAAACAAAUACAGUUUUACCAGAGGCAAACGACCCCAGGGACUAUAUGCCUAUUAUAAUAGCUAACAUGAAAAAUAUCCUAAUCAUGGCCUUAGAAGUCACAGUAAUAAAAUCAAGGAUAGUCUUCUGGCUCA
Molecule: long non-coding RNA, 1690 nt
Organism: Dromaius novaehollandiae (emu)
Lineage: Eukaryota; Metazoa; Chordata; Aves; Casuariiformes; Dromaiidae
Source: Ensembl